AUGCACGCCAUCCUCAGAAGCCCACACUGUCUCCUCCCCACAAUGGAACUCGCAAAGUCCUUCAUACUCGCCUUGCUGGCCCUUCACGCAUGGCUUGCUGCCGGUUCCGUAGUCGACGACCGCCUCGCGCUCAUGUCAUUCAUGUCAGGCAUGACAGCCAACUCAUCGUUAGCUUUUGCACGGUCGUCGUGGGGCAACCGCUCCGUUCCGACAUGCGAGUGGCGUGGCAUGGCGUGUGGCCUGAGUGGCCGCCGCCGCGGCCGUGUGGUGGCACUGGAUCUCCCCGGGCUCGGCCUCGGCGGCACUGUUCCGCCCGAACUGGGUAACCUCACCUACCUGAGGCGGCUCCAUCUCCCUGCCAACCACCUCCAUGGCGUCCUCCCGCUGGAGCUCGGCAGCCUCCCUGACCUCAGGCACCUCAACCUCAGCUACAACUCCUUCCAGGGGAGGAUCCCGGCGUCGCUUUCAAACUGCAGCCUGAUCAAAAGGCUUUAUGAACCCAUGCCGGCAAGAUAUCAUCAUAAAAUGGGUGAGAACUGCGUGCUCAUAAUCGCAGUAAGUGGCUUAGAGAUGCUGUCUACCACUGUUAACUUGGGAAUAAAACUUCUUGACAUACAACCUGCCCAAUAG
RNAcentral lists this ribosomal RNA (630 nucleotides) under Triticum aestivum (bread wheat). RNAcentral's name for it is "partial small subunit ribosomal RNA". Lineage: Eukaryota; Viridiplantae; Streptophyta; Magnoliopsida; Poales; Poaceae. The record is from RNAcentral.